RNAcentral lists this unclassified non-coding RNA (2367 nucleotides) under Leishmania donovani. RNAcentral describes it as "gene:LdHU3.06.0980(CDS-product:Qb-SNARE_protein_p utative)". Lineage: Eukaryota; Euglenozoa; Kinetoplastea; Trypanosomatida; Trypanosomatidae. The record is from RNAcentral.
CGUCUCCCGUCUUUCGCCGUGCCGCUCUCUCCCUCUCCCUCUGCAUGUGUGUGUGUGUUUCAAGACCACUCGCCUGGGCAUCCAAACCUCUGCCCCCCCCCCCCCCCCCCAAGCCCCAAAUUCCCAUCCCUAUCCCACCCCGAUCGAUCAUCUAGCUGCGCGAUGAAGCGCUCCAUACGCACACUCGAACAGCUGCAACUGCGCUUAACAAGUGACGCGGCGACCACCGGAGGCGGCAGCAGCCGCACUGGGACCACCGUUGAGCAGCGCCGUGCCGCCGAGGCAGCCAAGCAGAAGCGGUUGGCAACGCUGACCCCAUACAAGCAGGCAGAGUACCGAUGCGUCGAAUGCGUUGCAGAGCUGCGGCAGGCGUUGCGCGAUGUGGAGGAGUUUGAGGUUGCGUUGGGGCGCCGAACCAGCGCCGGCGUCGGCCGAUCGAGAGAAGAGGAGGAGGCAGGAGACGCCGUGGACGCGGACGAUGACGAGAGCACGAGGCUGCUCCGCCGACAGGAAGGGCGCCAAGGGCCGUCGAGCUCCACCGAAACCGCUCUGCUAGAGCAGGAGCUUGCUCGUAGCCGGCAGCAGGCAAGGCGUGCUCAUCAGCGCCUUCAGCAGCUGCAGCGUGAAGCCGCGCGACUCGCCUCCAGGGCGGCUGCCAAGGCACCCGCAGUUACGUCCUCCGCUGCCGUUGCACCUGUCGCCGACGCCUCGGCUCCUUCAGCAGCACUGGAGGCGCUUGAGUGGCAACGGGCGCUGCCGCACGUCGAGCGGGCAAAGCAGUGGUACCGUGACGUGUUUGGGAUAAGGGUGGUGUCGUCUCUGGACGAUCCGGUGCUGCAGCUGAACAGACCCGCACAGCCGCAGCAGUCGGCUGGCAGCAUGGCGCACUUCGGGAGAGGCGCCAAUCCCGUUCCAUCAUGCGUGACCGCUGCCGCGGCGUGCUCCUUCUCCUCCUCCGCACAGGCGCGGGGCAGUGAAAGCGCCGCCGGCUGGGUCAGCCCACAGGAAGGCAGUGAGGCGCGCGCAGGCGGCGCCGGCGCGUCGACGGUAUCGCCGCUACUGAUGCUCCAAAGUGCCCGAGAGGAUGCGGAGUUUCGCGAGUUCUUUGCCUCGGUGCAGGCCAAUGACGAGCUUAUCGACGCGGCCAUGGAUCGCAUCAGCGACGGCGUUCACCGACUCCUGGAGAACGCGCGUGGCAUGCAGGACGAGCUGGCGGUGCAGGAGGCGCUGCUGCAGCAGGCAGAGGUGUCUGCGGAGGCGGCCGAGGCGCAGCUCACGCAGAUGAACCGCCGCCUCCGCCGCGCCAUCCGCGAGAUGGAAGAUUCGUCGAUCUGCAUGUAUGUCGUGUGCCUGCUCGUGCUGCUACUCGUCCUUGGGCUGCUGUUGCGCGUUGCGAGCUGAGGCGCGCACACCCGUCUUGAGGGGCCGAGCGCGCGUGCAUCGUGGCCGGCUAGCUUUUCUGCGUCUGUGGCCUAGACAUCGUUCUCUUCUCGCUGCGUGUUCGCCUCCUCUGCUCUGACCGAGCUCGGCACCACACCGCUCUGUCGGUUGUUUCCUCUCUUUGAGGUCCCUGCUGCUUUUCGUCUAGGUGGCUGCGAUCUGCGCCGCCGCCUUGCUGUUAUGCCGUGACUUCGCCACACAUGUGCUUGGAUUUACAGCGCCCCCUCCCUUUUAGGUGCGUCAUCACAUGUGCGUGAUGAUCUGUGCUUGCUGCCUUGAGUGGACAGCUGAGAAGAGCGAGAGGUGCGCACGCGCAAAGGAAAUCGAAAACAGAUGCGCAUCACGCAGCGCGAGCGCUAGCGUGUACGACGUAGCUAUCCAUCCCUUCUCUCCCUCGGCUCCGUAGGCCAGUGUCGCCGUGUGGGAUCAGAGUCCCAGGGAGGGCGAGGAUGGCGUGCGGGGCACGCGUUUCCGCGCAAAAAGGGGGUGGGGAGGGGAGGUCGAUCGUGAUGCGUAGGCGCUUGUGUACGCGCGCCUACGUGUGCGCGCUGCCAGAUCAUAUUCGAAGCGUCCACAGUGCUCAUCCACUGCGUCUCUUUUCCGCUUCCCCCGUUGCGCUGCAUCCCAGUCGCCGUGGCGACGUGUCGAGCUGCUCAGUGACGCUCCUUCGACUCGCGCCAGCCUGCCCGACACUCGCUCUCCCGGCCUCGGUGACUCGCGUGAAUGUGGGUGCCCUUCCAGCUCUGCGGCGCACACCCUCAGACGCCCCUUAUGUGUGUAUCCGUGUACACAUGCGCGUGCGCUGGCGCACAUGCCCCCGCCUCCCCUUUCCACCCCAACGCUUCUCAGCCCGCGUCUCCCCGAUCUCACUUGCCUCUGCGAAAACGGGUAACGCACGCGCGCGCACGAAUGUCCGCCGUGUGGCAG